UGACUUAGCGGCGGACGGGUGAGUAACGCGUGGGCAACCUGCCUUACACAGGGGGAUAACAAUUAGAAAUGAUUGCUAAUACCGCAUAAGACCCCAGUACCGCAUGGUACAGAGGUAAAAACUGAGGUGGUGUAAGAUGGGCCCGCGUCUGAUUAGGUAGUUGGUGGGGUAGAAGCCUACCAAGCCGACGAUCAGUAGCCGACCUGAGAGGGCGACCGGCCACAUUGGGACUGAGACACGGCCCAAACUCCUACGGGAGGCAGCAG
Molecule: ribosomal RNA, 266 nt
Filed under: uncultured bacterium
Lineage: Bacteria
Description: partial 16S ribosomal RNA
Rfam family: Bacterial small subunit ribosomal RNA
Source: RNAcentral